GACGAACGCUGGCGGCGUGCCUAAUACAUGCAAGUCGAACGAGAAUUGCUUACACCGAGUGCUUGCACUCACCGUAAGGAAUUCGAGUGGCGGCCGGGUGAGUAACACGUGGGUAACCUGCCUAUCAGAGGGGGGAUAACACUUGGAAACAGGUGCUAAUACCGCAUAAUAUUGAAAAGCGCAUGCUUUUCAAUUAAAAGGCGCUUCUGGUGUCACUGAUAGAUGGACCCGCGGCGUAUUAGCUAGUUGGUGGGGUAACGGCCUACCAAGGCAAUGAUACGUAGCCGAGUUGAGAGACUGAUCGGCCACAAUGGGACUGAGACACGGCCCAGACUCCUACGGGAGGCAGCAGUGGGGGAUAUUGCACAAUGGAGGAAACUCUGAUGCAGCGACGCCGCGUGAGGGAAGACGGUCUUCGGAUUGUAAACCUC
RNAcentral lists this ribosomal RNA (431 nucleotides) under uncultured Lactobacillus sp. RNAcentral's name for it is "bacterial SSU rRNA". It matches the Rfam family "Bacterial small subunit ribosomal RNA", at positions 28 to 433 of the family's 1533-position model. Lineage: Bacteria; Bacillati; Bacillota; Bacilli; Lactobacillales; Lactobacillaceae. The record is from RNAcentral.